GAUUUUGAUGCAGUCAUGAACAAGUAAAUUUGAACUUUUCUAUUAUUUUAUGAUUUCGAGUAAAUGAUUUCUGUCACUAUUCUUUCCUUAUAUUUUGGGAUCUCAUUACUACACUGAUUUAACCAUACCUUUAGUGGAAAAACCCUUAUCUCUUUCCUCAGUGGUUUAAGUAACUUAAAAUGGCUUCUUACUCUCAGCAAUGGUGUUUAUAUUUGUGUAUUUAAUUCCAGGGGGUUCUUCCAUGGAUACUCCUUGAUUACAGUUCUCAUGAUUCUCAAU
Molecule: unclassified non-coding RNA, 279 nt
Filed under: Hevea brasiliensis (rubber tree)
Lineage: Eukaryota; Viridiplantae; Streptophyta; Magnoliopsida; Malpighiales; Euphorbiaceae
Source: RNAcentral